GCCGCACCAUCCCCAGCCGCACCGUGGCCAUCAGCGACGCUGCACAGUUACCUCAUGACUACUGCACCACACAGGGUUGCGGGGGAGGGGGGGCACUCUUCUCACCACACGGGGAGGAACUCAAAUCUUUUAUGAUAGAAAGUUUCUGUUGGAUUAUUGCAAUUCUCCCAUGGUUCAGACCCCACCCUGCCAUCUACCAAAUAUCCCAGAAGUCACUAGCCCUGGCACCUUAAUCGAAGACUCCAGAGUAGAAGUAAACAAUUUGAACAACAUAAACAAUCAUGAGAGGAAACACGCAGUUGGGGAUGAUGCUCAGUUUGAGAUGGGCAUCUGA
Molecule: long non-coding RNA, 334 nt
Filed under: Homo sapiens (human)
Lineage: Eukaryota; Metazoa; Chordata; Mammalia; Primates; Hominidae
Description: non-protein coding lnc-FBXL4-6:1
Source: RNAcentral